AUGUCGUCGUUCGCCGGCGUGUCGGUCGUCGACGGCGUCGAUCUGUGCCCCCCUUGCGCCGGGUCGGCCUGCGAAACCAACGCCUACUGCGGGUACCACCUGCUCGUCGUCCAGGGCUACUCGCGCGCCAAGGAGAAGGCGCCCACCGGGGAGAGCAUCAUCUCCCGGCCCUUCAGGGUCGGAUGCCAUACGUGGCAGAUCGAGCUCUUCCCCAACGGCGAUAACCCGAGCUGCGCCGACUUCGUCUCUCUCUACGUCUGCCGCCUCGACGACUAUCUCAACAAUGCCGUGGAUGCCAAGUUCAGUCUCAGUUUCGUCGACCAGGCCGAGAAGCAGAAGCCGGUGUACAUUCUUGGGACCGAGACGUGCAGCUUCCCCCAUGGCGGUUCUCGGGGCCACCGCAAGUUCAUGAGGAAAGACGCCCUUGAACGAUCGGAGAAUAUGAGGCGUGAUGGUUUCACCGUCCGGUGCGACAUCAUGAUCUGCUGCGAGGAGGAUGACGACGCCGGUGGCACCGCCCCGCCUCGCUACAUAUGCCAGCAUUUUAACACUCUCCUUGAAAGUAAGGUGGGCGCUGAUGUGACCUUCGAGGUCAGCGGCGAGACGUUCGCUGCGCACCGGUGCGUGCUUGCUGCCCGAUCGACGGUCUUCAUGGCGCAGCUCUUUGGCCCCAUGAAGGAGGGCACCACGUCCAGUGUCAUACAGAUUGAAGACAUGGAGGCAAAAGUGUUCAGGGCUUUGCUUAGGUUCAUCUACACAGACUCAUUCCCUGAGAUGGAGAAGGAAGUCAUCCAGGAGGAAGCACAAGAAGUGGAACAAGGACAAGAAGAGGAUGAAAUGCGUUUGCAAUGGUUGUGA
Molecule: ribosomal RNA, 858 nt
Filed under: Triticum aestivum (bread wheat)
Lineage: Eukaryota; Viridiplantae; Streptophyta; Magnoliopsida; Poales; Poaceae
Description: partial small subunit ribosomal RNA
Source: RNAcentral